UAGAAAUCACACAUCUCAUAUCUCAAUCUCUUUCUUCCUUCCUUUUUCUUCCUUCCUUUCUUCCUUCCUUGUCUCACGUUAUCUCUCUCUUUUUUUUUGUUACAGAUCUAAAUCUGAUAUGAUCUAAAUCUUUUUUAAUUCUUUGGAUCUCUAUCUUCCUCAAUCACCACCACCACACGACGAACCGUUUGUUUUCGCCGUCCCAGCAUCACAACCACCACCACACGACCGUUCGUUCGCCGUCCCAGCAUCACCACCACCACACAACCACAGUUAGAACUCAUCUCUCUAUCUCUCUCUCUCUGUUUUGAACUGUAUUAUUUGUUUUAGGGAUGGAGGAAGCAAGGCAAGGCAGGUAUGGCGGCUGGAGGAGGAAGAUGACGGCUUCAGAUUCAGGAAGAGGAAGCUGACGGCGAGUUGGUGAGGAGGCGACGAGAUUAGGUCUAGAUGGAUGUGACGUUUGCCUCCUCUCUGCAACUUGCCUCUCAAAUCCCAGGAUGAAGAAGAAGCAUGGCUGGAUACUAAUGAAGGUCAUGGAAAAACACGAAGACGAAGGUGGUGGUGCGGCCGGUAGAUGAAGAAGGCAACGAAGUGGUGGUGUGUUUAGUUAGUAAUUAGGUUAAAGUCCGGUUUAGUUUUUGGUUUAUUUAGUUUGUUGGUUUAUUAUUUAAUUAGAUUUUUUUUUGUAUUUUUGUAAACAAAUUUCAUUAUAGAUAAAUUUAAGUAAUAAAGAAAAUUUGAUUCUAUGAAUAAUUUUAAAUUUUAAUUAAGUUUUUAUUUUUAAAUAAUUAAAUAAUAAAUAUUUCGCGUUUGCCUCCUCUCUGCAACUUGCCUCUCAAAUCCCAGGAUGAAGAAGAAUCAUGGCUGGAUACUGAUGAAGGUCAUGGAAAAACACGAAGACGAAGGUGGUGGUGCGGCCGGUAGAUGAAGAAGACAACGAAGUGGUGGUGUGUUUAGUUAGUAAUUAGGUUAAAGCCUGGUUUAGUUUUUGGUUUAUUUAGUUUGUUGGUUUAUUAUUUAAUCUGAUUUUUUUUUUGUAUUUUUGUAAACCAAUUUAACUAUAGAUAAAUUUAAGUAAUAAAGAAAAUUUG
This 1091-nucleotide long non-coding RNA is filed under the name Brassica napus (rape). RNAcentral's name for it is "long non-coding RNA (BNAP_LNC024092)". Lineage: Eukaryota; Viridiplantae; Streptophyta; Magnoliopsida; Brassicales; Brassicaceae. The record is from RNAcentral.